GGAAUAUUGGACAAUGGGCGAAAGCCUGAUCCAGCCAUGCCGCGUGUGUGAAGAAGGUCUUCGGAUUGUAAAGCACUUUAAGUCGGGAGGAAGGGCUGUAGGCGAAUACCCUGCAGUCUUGACGUUACCGACAGAAUAAGCACCGGCUAACUUCGUGCCAGCAGCCGCGGUAAUACGAAGGGUGCAAGCGUUAAUCGGAAUUACUGGGCGUAAAGCGCGCGUAGGUGGUUCAGUAAGUUGGAUGUGAAAUCCCCGGGCUCAACCUGGGAACUGCAUCCAAAACUGCUGAACUAGAGUACGGUAGAGGGUGGUGGAAUUUCCUGUGUAGCGGUGAAAUGCGUAGAUAUAGGAAGGAACACCAGUGGCGAAGGCGACCACCUGGACUGAUACUGACACUGAGGUGCGAAAGCGUGGGGAGCA
RNAcentral lists this ribosomal RNA (420 nucleotides) under uncultured bacterium. Its description in RNAcentral is "bacterial SSU rRNA". It matches the Rfam family "Bacterial small subunit ribosomal RNA", at positions 358 to 770 of the family's 1533-position model. The record is from RNAcentral.